RNAcentral lists this ribosomal RNA (531 nucleotides) under Penicillium thomii. RNAcentral's name for it is "eukaryotic LSU rRNA". The stretch from base 155 to 308 matches the Rfam family "5.8S ribosomal RNA". Lineage: Eukaryota; Fungi; Ascomycota; Eurotiomycetes; Eurotiales; Aspergillaceae. The record is from RNAcentral.
GGGUCACCUCCCACCCGUGUUUAUUGUACCUUGUUGCUUCGGUGCGCCCGCCUCACGGCCGCCGGGGGGCUUCUGCCCCCGGGUCCGCGCGCACCGGAGACACCAUUGAACUCUGUCUGAAGAUUGCAGUCUGAGCAUAAACUAAAUAAGUUAAAACUUUCAACAACGGAUCUCUUGGUUCCGGCAUCGAUGAAGAACGCAGCGAAAUGCGAUAACUAAUGUGAAUUGCAGAAUUCAGUGAAUCAUCGAGUCUUUGAACGCACAUUGCGCCCCCUGGUAUUCCGGGGGGCAUGCCUGUCCGAGCGUCAUUGCUGCCCUCAAGCACGGCUUGUGUGUUGGGCUCCGUCCCCCCGGGGACGGGUCCGAAAGGCAGCGGCGGCACCGAGUCCGGUCCUCGAGCGUAUGGGGCUUUGUCACCCGCUCUGUAGGCCCGGCCGGCGCCAGCCGACAACCAAUCAUCCUUUUUUCAGGUUGACCUCGGAUCAGGUAGGGAUACCCGCUGAACUUAAGCAUAUCAAUAAGCGGAGGAAA